GGGGGAUGAGGAUCUGGGGGAUGCGGAGGGGGGGGAUUAUAAUUUGGGGACAGAUGAGCACUUCAGGAACAAAAAGUGUGUAAUGGGAAGAGUAUAGAAAACAUGAGCAGGGCGUUGAUUCAGGACACAAAGAAAGCAUUUAAAGAGGGAGGAUACAUUCUGAAAGCAGAGGAGAGGGGGUUGUAUAGCAUAAUGAGAGCAAGUGAUGGGGAUACAUUGAUAGUGGGGUACU
Pelobates cultripes (western spadefoot toad) is the source of this 232-nucleotide non-coding RNA. The record is from the annotation of a GenBank genome assembly. NCBI's taxonomy places the organism in Eukaryota, Metazoa, Chordata, Amphibia, Anura, Pelobatidae.